AUUGACAUGACAGUGGUGGUAUGGUAGUUAAUGAGGUUAAUCCAAGGCAUCAUUAUUGCUAAUUGGAAACGUUUCAUUUUCUGGCUGUUCCACUACACACAUUUAUAAAACAACAGAAGGAAACGAAACACUGGGAGCACUUUUAAGCA
Non-coding RNA from Podarcis lilfordi (Lilford's wall lizard), 149 nucleotides. NCBI's taxonomy places the organism in Eukaryota, Metazoa, Chordata, Lepidosauria, Squamata, Lacertidae. The record is from the annotation of a GenBank genome assembly.